CCGGCGAGCGCGGUGGCGGGUGUGGCGAUUCCCUCCUCCCCGCGGCCCGGGUCUGCCGUCUCCGCGGCUCCAGGCCUGUGGAAGUCCCAUCAAGGGACCAGGAGGUGGAGGAGGCCAGCCCUGCUGGCUGGAGAUAGGCAGCACAGCUCCCAGCGCUGCCCACUGCUGGACCCCCUGGACCAUCGUGGCUCCCCGGCCAGGCACAUGCAAGAGGACAGACCCCAGAAAGACUCUGCUUUCACACAUCCGCAGCUGCCAUCCAGUUUAAGCCAGGGGGUUUAGAGACCUGAAACAUCAAUAGCUUCUGGGUGGUUCUGAGGAUUCAAGAGGUGGGUAGCUUCAAUAUAAGUCAAGUCAUUGUUUCUGUCACCACAUCUUCUGAAGUUGGAUAAAAUCCCAACAACAAGUGUCAGUUCAGAUCAGAUUUACAACAGGCAAGCACCUGUUCUUCAGGRCUGACUAGAUGAAGACCCCUGUGAUUACCGUUCUCCGGGAGGAGGGUCGUCUUGGUGGGGGCCCGAUGUGCACUCUGACCCCUUGGCCCUGAAGCUCCAGGUGUGUGGACCUCAGCAGCGUAGGCUAGAGGUCUGGAGUCAGUGGAGGCUGAUUUGGAAGCUCUGUGGUCCUGCCCCCCA
RNAcentral lists this long non-coding RNA (635 nucleotides) under Urocitellus parryii (Arctic ground squirrel). RNAcentral's name for it is "lncRNA (ENSUPAG00010021907.1)". Lineage: Eukaryota; Metazoa; Chordata; Mammalia; Rodentia; Sciuridae. The record is from RNAcentral.